Molecule: unclassified non-coding RNA, 241 nt
Filed under: uncultured Psathyrella
Lineage: Eukaryota; Fungi; Basidiomycota; Agaricomycetes; Agaricales; Psathyrellaceae
Description: sequence contains ITS1
Source: RNAcentral
AUGAAUAUCUAUGGCGUUGGUUGUAGCUGGCUUCUAGGAGCAUGUGCACACCCGUCAUUUUUAUCUUUCCACCUGUGCACUUAAUGUAGGUCUGGAUAACUCUCGCUUUCACAAGCGGAUGCAAGGAUUGCUGUGUCGCAAGGCCAGCUCUCUUUGAAUUUCCAGAUCUAUGUACCCUUACACACCCCAAAUGUAUGAUGAAGAAUGUAGUCAAUGGGCUCUAAGCCUAUAAAACAAAAUA